GUGCACGCUGGCGGUAGGCCUAACACAUGCAAGUCGAACGGCAGCACAGUAAGAGCUUGCUCUUACGGGUGGCGAGUGGCGGACGGGUGAGGAAUACAUCGGAAUCUACUUUUUCGUGGGGGAUAACGUAGGGAAACUUACGCUAAUACCGCAUACGACCUACGGGUGAAAGCAGGGGAUCUUCGGACCUUGCGCGAUUGAAUGAGCCGAUGUCGGAUUAGCUAGUUGGCGGGGUAAAGGCCCACCAAGGCGACGAUCCGUAGCUGGUCUGAGAGGGUGAUCAGCCACACUGGAACUGAGACACGGUCCAGACUCCUACACGAGGCAGCAGUGGGGAAUAUUGGACACUCGGCGCAAGUCUGAUCCCACCAUACCGCGUGGGUGAAGAAGGCCUUCGGGUUGUAAAGCCCUUUUGUUGGGAAAGAAAAGCAGCAGGUUAAUACCCCGCUGUUCUGACGGUACCCAAAGAAUAAGCACCGGCUAACUUCGUG
Molecule: ribosomal RNA, 491 nt
Filed under: uncultured bacterium
Lineage: Bacteria
Description: partial 16S ribosomal RNA
Rfam family: Bacterial small subunit ribosomal RNA
Source: RNAcentral